GGUGACUUAGUGUAAUGGUUCCAUGCCUGGUUUACCUUUGCCGUGAUAACUAUCUACCAGCAGGGAGGGGGUUCGAAUCCUUUAGUUACUA
This is a non-coding RNA of Hypoxylon sp. FL0543, 91 nucleotides long. The record is from the annotation of a GenBank genome assembly. NCBI's taxonomy places the organism in Eukaryota, Fungi, Ascomycota, Sordariomycetes, Xylariales, Hypoxylaceae.